UACAGAGGUCUCAAGCGUUGUUCGGAUUCAUUGGGCGUAAAGGGUGCGUAGGUGGCGCCAUAAGUCGGGUGUGAAAUCUCGGGGCUUAACUCCGAAACUGCAUUCGAUACUGUGGUGCUUGAGGACUGGAGAGGAGACUGGAAUUCAUGGUGUAGCAGUGAAAUGCGUAGAGAUCAUGAGGAAGACCAGUGGCGAAGGCGGGUCUCUGGACAGUUCCUGACACUGAGGCACGAAGGCCAGGGGAGCAAACAGG
This 253-nucleotide ribosomal RNA is filed under the name uncultured bacterium. Its description in RNAcentral is "partial 16S ribosomal RNA". It matches the Rfam family "Bacterial small subunit ribosomal RNA", at positions 524 to 776 of the family's 1533-position model. The record is from RNAcentral.